Molecule: long non-coding RNA, 687 nt
Organism: Zingiber officinale
Lineage: Eukaryota; Viridiplantae; Streptophyta; Magnoliopsida; Zingiberales; Zingiberaceae
Exons: 3
Source: RefSeq, a predicted model, not a curated record
UUUCUUUUUCUAUUUCUUCUUUUCCUCUCCCGUGCCCAUUUCCUUUCCCCGACGUCGUUCCUCCCCACUUCGACGGUUUCUUCUUCCCAACGCCUGCGCCGACGCCGCCCUCGCGGUUGUUCCUCUCCUCUCCGAUACAAAGGCAGUGGCCGUGGGGAAGCCUUGUGUUUUUCCCUUCUUCCGAUCUCUGCCCUAGAGCCUCUGCCCCGAUUCCUUUCCUCUAGCCGACGCGACACCGACCCCCGAUCCGUCGGCAUCCGAGCCCUAACGCCGGCCUCUCCUUCUCCUCCUUCCCGAGCCACACCAGUCGCCGCUACCACUUGAGGUCACACGGAACAGCGUCGGCGCCCUACCACCGACGCCUCGCCGAAUGGGUGGUAUUUUGUGGGUACAGUAUUCCACAUCCUUCUGACAACAAGAUUAAGAGUUCAAACUACAGGUGAUCAAGUCAAAGAUGUGCUAAAGGAUGCAUUGGAGAAUUUGACACAGAUGUGCCAACAUGUUCGCUCCACAUUGGGGAAGACAAUAGAUGAUUUUAAAGUAAAAAAUCAAUGAUCAUGAAGAUUGAUGAUAAAUAUAUUUUUCUCUUUAUUUCCUCCUCUUCCUAGUUGUAGUGUUAAAUUAAUGAUUUAAAACAUGGAAUGCAUGUUGGAAUUCAAAUCAAUUUUAUUUUUGCCUUUGCAUAAA